AACACCGAAUAUGAACUAUAAAACAAACAUGUAUAAUAUUAAAAAUUAAUAAUUUUAAAAUAUACUAUUUUUCGAUAGCAAUGCUGAAUCAACGUAAGCAGUCCUUUUGUGUAAAGAAAGAAAGAAAAAGAAAAAGAAUAAAAAAAAAUUGAAAGAGAAGAAAGUCCAAUGGAAUCUCCAAACGAUGAUUCUUUAUAAAAAGGUUAAGAGGAUGGUGGCCUUCCAUAUCACGAAGGACAAUUAUUGAGACCACCCAAAUUUUUAAUUGCAAAAUUUAUCUAUUUUAUAAUCGAA
RNAcentral lists this long non-coding RNA (294 nucleotides) under Gossypium barbadense (sea-island cotton). Its description in RNAcentral is "long non-coding RNA (GBAR_LNC019971)". The record is from RNAcentral. Lineage: Eukaryota; Viridiplantae; Streptophyta; Magnoliopsida; Malvales; Malvaceae.